RNAcentral lists this unclassified non-coding RNA (542 nucleotides) under Portunus trituberculatus (swimming crab). RNAcentral's name for it is "uncharacterized LOC123498878, transcript variant X6". The record is from RNAcentral. Lineage: Eukaryota; Metazoa; Arthropoda; Malacostraca; Decapoda; Portunidae.
GCGAAAUUCUCCAGUCUGUCUCCUUGUACGUUGCAAAUCUUUGGACGAAAGGAAAAAUGGACACGGUAUUGCCAGCCAGCGUCACCAACAACACAACGAGGAAGUCAGGGAAGGAUGCAAGGGACGAGGCACUUUCCGGGGAGGAGCGGCGAGCAGGGAGUCUGUGGCAGCCACGUGGGACGAUAGGCGGAGACGCGAGCGGUGCGUCUUCCCCCGCCGAGUGCUGGAGCCAGACUGAAGUGAGCCAGUUGCCGACGCCGAACUGGAGAAGAGUGAGGAAAGGCGAGAACACGUAGAGGAGGAGGAAGUGCAGGAGGAGGUGGAGGAGCGAGACCAUUAGGAAGAGGAGAACCGGAGACACAACCAGAGACAGAACCAGACUGGCCUCUUGUUCGUGACGCUGAAGAGCCGCGUGGUGCAGCAAGACUCUUGAUGGAGCCCAUAAGGAUGUCAUCGUAGCCCAGGAACUCAUCCAGGAUGAAGCGGGAGAGGGAGUCCCCAAAGCAGGCAUCCUUCAAGGGAUCGAGUGUGACAAUCUUGAC